Molecule: unclassified non-coding RNA, 345 nt
Filed under: soil metagenome
Description: partial contains 5.8S ribosomal RNA, internal transcribed spacer 2, and large subunit ribosomal RNA
Rfam family: 5.8S ribosomal RNA (bases 1-120)
Source: RNAcentral
GAUGAAGAACGCAGCAAAAUGCGAUAAGUAAUGUGAAUUGCAGAAUUCAGUGAAUCAUCGAAUCUUUGAACGCACAUUGCGCCCGCCAGUAUUCUGGCGGGCAUGCCUGUUCGAGCGUCAUUUCAACCCUCAAGCCCUCGGGUUUGGUGUUGGGGAUCGGCGAGCCUUUCUGGCAAGCCGGCCCCGAAAUCUAGUGGCGGUCUCGCUGCAGCCUCCAUUGCGUAGUAGUAAAACCCUCGCAACUGGAACGCGGCGCGGCCAAGCCGUUAAACCCCCAACUUCUGAAUGUUGACCUCGGAUCAGGUAGGAAUACCCGCUGAACUUAAGCAUAUCAAUAACGGAGGA